GGAAACGUGCCUGAAAGCUAAGGACCUCCUUGAUAGGGAGAACAAUAGGAGUUCAAAUCUCCUCGCUUCCUUA
This 73-nucleotide transfer RNA is filed under the name Bufo gargarizans andrewsi (West China toad). RNAcentral's name for it is "tRNA-Ile". It matches the Rfam family "tRNA". Rfam says of the family: Transfer RNA (tRNA) molecules are approximately 80 nucleotides in length. Lineage: Eukaryota; Metazoa; Chordata; Amphibia; Anura; Bufonidae. The record is from RNAcentral.